Molecule: long non-coding RNA, 1729 nt
Organism: Bos taurus (domestic cattle)
Lineage: Eukaryota; Metazoa; Chordata; Mammalia; Artiodactyla; Bovidae
Source: Ensembl
GGACUAGCUUUCAUUGGCUACAGCCACCACAUCAAAUAUCAGUAAAACAUGAGAACAAGAACCACAUGAAGGGAGAGAGCACCAACCUCGGGGAGCCUCUUAACACUUAAGAAGCCUCUUGGUAGAACUGAAGCCUCCAGAAUAAAAAACAAGCACCGUUGUUCUCUAUGGUCUAAAUCACUUCAAAAGAGAUUAAGGAGCCCCAAAAAGAUAAAACUCAGCUUAGAUGUGCACCCACCCACUUCCUUGCUAGCAUCUUCCACGGCAUGGCAGGAACCAGGCCCCACUAAGCAGGGGGCAAGGAGAGGCUGGGGCGGAGGGAGCUGAAGCGAGGCAGAGAAGACCCCCGCCGCCCUCCGUGCACCCCUACCAUUUGCAGACUCGGACUCAGAUAGUGAGCCCAGAGGUGGCACCGCGCUCGAUGCUGUGGAGGCCAGACGGCUGGAUCACUCGACUCUGCCACGCUCGGCUCCAGGACCCUGCAGUUUUCUGACUCAGAUCUCAGCGAGCACCACUGACAUCUGUUACCCCUGAAGAGAUGUGAUAUGGGGCCUAAUGGAUUUUCUGUGUGUUCCUUUCUGACCCUGGAGAGACCUCCCAGGAAGACCAAAUAUGUCUAUCAGAGGGGUCAGGCCCCUCGCAGGGAAAAUGCGAUCCAACACCACUGCAGUCUCUGGCUGCAGAGAGUGAAAGGAAAGGACCAGAAGAAACAAAGCAAGCCCAGCCCGGGGAGAGCAGGCCCCCGCGGGCUCCACUGCUGCGCAGGCGCGAAUGGCAGCAAGCCGCGUGCGACCAGCUUGCAUCAAGAGCGCGUUUCAAUCCCUUACACUUGGCAUUCAAGAACAUUUUGGUACUUGUAUUUAAUCGUGGGUGUUUUUGUUAUUUCUGUAAUUCACAACACAUGAGGCCAUUCUGGGAGAACCUGAAUCACUAGGAGGCAAAGAGCCAUCAUCCUAUUUCCCACCCAGCUCUGGCUCCAUCAAUACCCCUUCCUGGGACACCACGCUGGGGGUGGCAGCUCAGAUUCCCUGAUGAUGAGAAGCAGCCCAAACGCCCAAGCUUUGAGGGGAAGAGGUCUCCCUGCUUUCUUUCAAGAGGGGAUAGGGUACCAACAGCUGGGCUCAAAGGCCCUUCUUCGCUGGGAGCUGAGCAAAGGCAGAGGAGACGUUGUGGUGAGACCAGAGUGGGUGGGAAGCCCUAAGAGCUCCAUACUAAGUGGGUCCACUGGAGGGGGAGAGGCUGGGCCAGCCCGCUUUCCAUGUACGCUGUACUCUGCUCAGAGCAGGCGAGGCAACUGGGUGGCCUGGAAAUGCUGUGGAAGCCAGUGAAGGCAGGGUCCCUCUAGACUGCAAUGAGCUCAGAGAGCCACUCAGGGCGUGUCCUUCAAGUGAGCGGGAGGAAGUGUGCAGAUGACAUUGAAAUAUUGAACCCUUUGCAAGCCUUGUGCCCCCUUCUGGAAAUUUCAGGGUGAAUUGGGUGGGCUAAAGCAACAUAAAUGAAAUAUACAUGUUUGUGUACACAAAGGCAAGGAGAUCUGAAUGAAAAAAUACAAAAGGAAAAUAGAGCAGCCCAGACUGCUGCUGCUGCUGCUGCUACUGCUAAGUCGCUUCAAGUCGGACACGACUAAAGCGACGCAGCAGCAGCAGCAAACUCACAUAGCAUCUUGGUAUGGUAGAUGUGAUUUGGUCCAAAUUUUUUUUUCCCAAAAGAGAAACAGAAGCUUUAUAAC